Molecule: ribosomal RNA, 497 nt
Filed under: uncultured bacterium
Lineage: Bacteria
Description: partial 16S ribosomal RNA
Rfam family: Bacterial small subunit ribosomal RNA
Source: RNAcentral
GAUGAACGCUGGCGGCGUGCCUAAUACAUGCAAGUCGAGCGAACGGACGAGAAGCUUGCUUCUCUGAUGUUAGCGGCGGACGGGUGAGUAACACGUGGAUAACCUACCUAUAAGACUGGGAUAACUUCGGGAAACCGGAGCUAAUACCGGAUAAUAUUUUGAACCGCAUGGUUCAAAAGUGAAAGACGGUCUUGCUGUCACUUAUAGAUGGAUCCGCGCUGCAUUAGCUAGUUGGUAAGGUAACGGCUUACCAAGGCAACGAUGCAUAGCCGACCUGAGAGGGUGAUCGGCCACACUGGAACUGAGACACGGUCCAGACUCCUACGGGAGGCAGCAGUAGGGAAUCUUCCGCAAUGGGCGAAAGCCUGACGGAGCAACGACGCGUGAGUGAUGAAGGUCUUCGGAUCGUAAAACUCUGUUAUUAGGGAAGAACAUAUGUGUAAGUAACUGUGCACAUCUUGACGGUACCCAAUCAGAAAGCCACGGCUAACUACGUG